This is a long non-coding RNA of Oreochromis aureus, 279 nucleotides long. NCBI's taxonomy places the organism in Eukaryota, Metazoa, Chordata, Actinopteri, Cichliformes, Cichlidae. The record is from Ensembl.
GUCAAGUUUAAAGGUGUAAAAACAAGUACAGGAUAUUUACAAUAAGCAGACCUCAGUGCAAGAAAGUGUCUUUCCAACACUGAAAAGGUCAAAGGUCAACUUUAAAGGUGUAAAAACAAGUACAGGAUAUUUACAAUAAGCAGACCUCAGUGCAAGAAAGUGUCUUUCCAACACUGAAAAGGUUAAAGGUCAAGUUUAAAGGUGUAAAAAACAAGUACAGGAUAUUUACAAUAAGCAGACCUCAGUGCAAGAAAGUGUCUUUCCAACACUGAAAAGGUC